UUUCGUGAUGAACAAGAGGUCCAACCUCUAUAAUCCCAGCUCUUCGAAUGUCUCACCAUACCAACGCAGAGGCAGCAUGAGAAUAUGUCCCACCUGAUCCU
Hortaea werneckii EXF-2000 is the source of this 101-nucleotide non-coding RNA. Lineage: Eukaryota; Fungi; Ascomycota; Dothideomycetes; Mycosphaerellales; Teratosphaeriaceae. The record is from Rfam.